Molecule: ribosomal RNA, 301 nt
Filed under: uncultured bacterium
Lineage: Bacteria
Description: partial 16S ribosomal RNA
Rfam family: Bacterial small subunit ribosomal RNA
Source: RNAcentral
CAGCAGCCGCGGUAAUACAGAGGAUGCAAGCGUUAUCCGGAAUGAUUGGGCGUAAAGGGCUCGCAGGCGGUUUCUUAAGUCUGAUGUGAAAGCCCCCGGCUCAACCGGGGAGGGUCAUUGGAAACUGGGAAACUUGAGUGCAGAAGAGGAGAGUGGAAUUCCACGUGUAGCGGUGAAAUGCGUAGAGAUGUGGAGGAACACCAGUGGCGAAGGCGACUCUCUGGUCUGUAACUGACGCUGAGGAGCGAAAGCGUGGGGAGCGAACAGGAUUAGAUACCCGCGUAGUCCCUGUCUCUUAUAC